CGAAAACAUAAGUACACAACUUCUGUGUGUUCAACUUCCCACCUAAAGAUUCUCUCUUUACAGAUUUUUAGGAAGUAGUGAACCCCCCAAAAGCUCCUGUCUUGUGUUUAAUCUCGGCCUCCAUUGAUGGAGGAGAGUCCAAUUCAAGAGCAAGAAGAUGCGCUUCUGGUUUCACCAACUGGCGGAGGAGACCCAUUUCACAAAAAAGCCUACUUUCUGAAACCCAUUGUCCCUAUUUCCUCCAUUGAUCGUGAACCUCCUUUCAAGCUCCCUCAGUGCCCUUUUCGUUUCGACCCAAAAAAGUGGCCUUUGGAGGUUGAAUUCCACGGUUGGCGACAAGGUCAAGAAGAUUGGAAUUCUUGGGUUGAUCGCUUGGCUCCUCUUCACCAAUCUACAUGGAAAAGAGCUGGUAUUUAUGAUGCAAUCUUUAAUUCUAAGUACCAAAUAAGAAGAAAGACUGAUUUGGUUUUCGGGUUUGCGGAGAAAUGGUGUUCUGAGACCAAUACCUUCAUCUUUCCUUGGGGUGAAGCAACCAUUACAUUGGAGGAUGUCAUGGUUUUGGGAGGCUUUUCGGUUUCCGGGGACUCUAUUUUCAGUCCACUUGAAAGCAUUGAACUAAAGGAAGUGGAAGAGAGGUUGAUUAAGGUAAGGAAAGAAGUUAAGAGAGCGAAGGCAAGCAAAUGGCUGCAGAAGUUUGUGAACAGUCAGAGUGAAUUGGAGCAUGAAGCAUUUCUUGCCUUUUGGUUGUCAAGGUAUGUUUUUUUCGAUGGUGAUAGUUUAAUACAAAAGCGUGUUUUUCCCCUUGCAAUUCAUUUAGCUAGGGGGACUAGAAUUGCACUUGCACAGCCUGUUCUUGCUGAUAUUUAUAAUGAUUUGAGUUUGUUCAAUAAUACAAUUGUGGCCUCAAAUGAAUUAAAUACCGGUGAUUGUGUCUUGAACGUGAAACUCAAGUCACCGUUUCAAUUAGUUCAGGUUUGGGCUUGGGAAAGAUUUUUGGAACUUAGGCCAAUAUUCAAUGUCAUCAAAUAUGGUGAGCCGAGAUUGGCUCGAUGGCAUAAAGCAAAUGGUCUGAGUAUUGAAAAUUUAAGAAGUGUUUUAGACUCAGCUGGAGAUGCCUUCAUGUGGCGCCCUUAUGCCAUGGCCAUUGAGAACUGGAAUUUUCCUAAAUACUACUCGGAAAAGGAAAUGUGGGUUGGUCCUGGUUUGGAUGAUGAGUUCCUGCAAUUUUCCAUGUUCUUGAGGGUGACGAAGUUAGUUGGAUUCAAUACUAGGAAACAAUACUUUCCACAUCGAGUAGCUAUGCAAUUUGGAUAUGAUCAAGACAUUCCAUGUAAGAUUGCUCAAUCCAAAGUAUCCAGGAAGCAUUGCAGUGACAAACCUGAGAUUGUAGGAUUCUACAUUCCAUCCACACUUUCUGAGCCGAAUGUUAGUGCAAGAUACUUGAAGUGGUGGAAUGAAUCAGUGUCAGGUCUCAAAGACACAAGUGAGGCCGCUAUGCCCCAAAAGAAGAAAGCAAAGAGGAUGGAAGGAUCACUAGUAAGGGCUAAACAAUCCCCAGUACAUCCUGAAUAUCCUCUUAAGAAAAAUUUAGAACGUUCUAAAAAGAGGAAGAGAAAGGAGAGCUUAUGCUUUAGGCAGAGUGCCCCAGACAUCAUGGUUGAAGAAAAAGAAGAGCUUAUGGUUUCACCAACUGGUGGAGACCCAUUUCCCAAAAAAGCCUACUAUCUGAAACCAGUUGUGCCUUCCUCCACCGAAAAACCCCCUUUUAAGUUCCCUACUGAAUCUUUCUCCCCCCUUCCUUCUGAUUUUGAGCCAAGAAAAUGGCCAUUAGAGGUUGAUAUCCCUGGAUGGAGAGUUAAGGGUCAAAAAGAUGAUUGGAAUGCUUGGGUUGAUCAAUUGGCUCCAGUCCACCAAUCUACGUGGAAGACAGCUGGCAUAUAUGAAGCCAUCUUCAAUUCGACCUAUGAAAUAAGAAGAAAAAACGAUUUGGUAUAUGGAUUUGCAGAAAAGUGGUGUUCUGAGACUAAUACAUUCAUUUUUCCUUGGGGUGAAGCAACAAUCACAUUGGAGGAUGUUAUGGUGAUGGGCGGCUAUUCCGUUCUUGGAGAGUCGAUUUUCAGCCCUCUUGAAAGCAGAGAGCUCAAGGAAAUAGAAGAGAAACUUAAUCAAGAGCGAACAGAGAUAAACAGGGGUGCGUCGCAUAGACCUUCUACUAGCUUAUGGUUGAAGAAAUUCAUGAACAGUGGGACUUUAUUGGAGCACGAAGCAUUCCUUGCAUUUUGGUUAUCAAGGUAUGUAUUUCCGGAUGCUCGUAGUACAAUACAAAAGCAUGUAUUCCCAAUUGCAAUUCGUUUAGCUAGGGGAACCCGAAUUGCAUUUGCACCUGCUGUUCUUGCUAGCAUUUAUAAGGACUUGAGUUUGUUGAAAUGCGCAAUUGUGGAUACAAGUAAGUUAAGGACAGGUUGUGAUGCUAUAAAACUCAGCAUCAAGUCACCAUUUCAGUUUGUUCAACUUUGGGCGUGGGAAAGAUUUGUAGAGCUGAGUCCAAAUCCCAGAAUGAUCAAUUUUGCGCAGCCAAGAUUGGCUCGAUGGGACAAAGUAAGUGGCGUGGAAGUUGAAAACUUGAGGAAGGUUUUAGAAUCUGCCGGAGAUGGUUUCAAGUGGCGUCCUUAUGCCUUGACCAUUGAAAACUGGCAGUUGCCUAAGUACUAUCCUGUAGAGGAAAUGCAUGUAUCAGAUUGUUGGGGUUUGGAUGAUGAGUUGCAUUCAUUUUUCAGAUGCUUGAGGGUUAGUGAGUUAGCUGGAUUCAGUACCAUUGAGCAGUACCUUCCGCAUAGAGUAGCAAUGCAAUUUGGUUUCGAUCAAGACAUUCCAUGCAUUGUGGCUCGAUCCAAUCAAAGUUCUGAUAUAGCCUGGAAUCAUUACAUCAAGGAAAUUCAGAAUGCAAGGUUGUAUGUUCCAUCCAGGCUUUCAAAGGCAGAUAUUAGCACAAGAUACUUGAAGUGGUGGAAGGAAUCAGUGUCGGGUCUCAAAAAGUCCACCAUGCCAAAAUUAGAAAAAUCAAAAUGCAUGGGAGGAUCCCUACCUAGGGCUAAACCUGCCCCUGUAGAUCCUGGCUCUGCCCCAGAGAAAGCUGUAGAGGGUUCUAAGAAACGGAAGAAGAAUAAUGAUUUCACUCUUCCUUCUGUUUCUGUUCCAAAGUACUCAGAUGAAGGUGAUGAUUUCCUUGUUCCGCUGGGAUUUCCUCCCAAAUGUAGCGUAAUGGAAGCUGGAUGUUCAGUGGACGAAGAUGGACUAACUUUAUCAGAAAUUUGGAAAUAUUGUAAGAAACAGAAAAAUGUAAAUACGAGAACAUGUGGUCAGCGUAAGAAGUUAGCAGGUCAAGUUCAAAGUCUGGCAUCUUCAAUUGGAGCAAGUUCUGUUGAUACUAUGAAGUCAGAGAGGUUGGAAGCUAGAGGUCUGAUAGACGAAGAUGGACCAAGUAAAUCAGAAACUUUUGAAAAUUCUAAGAAACAUAAAAAUGGUGAAACUAGAACGUGUGAUGACAGUGAGAAAUUAUCAGGUCAAGGUCAAGAUCUGGCAUCUUCAAUUGCAGAAAGUUCUGUUGACACUAUAAACUCAGAGAGAUUGGUGACAGAGGACAUGUUGAAUGAAGUUUUGAUUGGAAGAUUCAAGGCCGAAAGAAACCUGAAAACUGUGAUGAGGAGUAAUGCAAGAAGUUCAGAUAAUGAGAUGGCAAGCAUCGUUGACAAUGAAUGUGCUAGCAGCAGCUCUCCAAUUGAGAAACGGGUUUCAGUGCUUAAAGCUAGGGCCAGCAGGCUUGAGAGUAUAGUUAGCAUGUUGAAAGAAAAUUAUCCUUGGACCAAGUUCUAGGGUAAAGCAAACGAAACAAAGCAUCCUCUGAUUUGGGAAAUGGAAGGGAGAGUCAAACUCUGUCAAAUCAGGAACUAGGUUAUCUGUAGAUAUUUUAUGGAUUGAAGCAGAAUGCAGUUGGAAUAUCUUGGUAAAUGGGAAGGGGAGCCAAGAGUAGAACUCUGCAAGUUUGAGGAACUUUUCUCUUUUGUAGAUGUUCCAUUGCUUAGAAGGCAGCCAGAAUCUCUUGAACAUGCAUAAACAAAGUGGGAAUUGCAUGCCGGAUGGAAUUACCAAGUUAUUGUUGAACACAACGUUACCAACUAAUAACCUCAAGUCGCAGAGUCCAACAUUUAUACUAUUACAUCAACAAAGGACUGAAUCAAAGAAUAUACCCAUCAAUCAAAGGGCAGCAAUAAGACGAUGGUUCAACAGGAGACCUCCUGCAGCAUCCAUCAAAAACUUGAUCUUGAUUUUGUUCAGGGUGGCUAGAGCCUCUUGCAUACUUCCGGUGAUUCUACACAACAAGCAAGAGCAAAUCUCAUAAUGGUUGGUAAGUACUCUCUCUUGCUGACAAAAGCUCAUCUUCUUCAAUCCCAAGUAACUUCCAUCAACAACUUCAACUAUUACAUCUGCAAAUAGUGAAUUUGCCACCCGUUUCUUUAAACUCACUUCCCCGUCAAACAUCUCAUCUGUUGGCUUCCUUUUUGUGAAUGUUUCCAGAAGCACAAUACCAAAACUGUACACAUCCCCUCUUGUAGUAACCAUUCCUUCCAUUC
Rosa rugosa (rugosa rose) is the source of this 4631-nucleotide RNA transcript. RefSeq lists it as uncharacterized. The transcript has 4 exons. NCBI's taxonomy places the organism in Eukaryota, Viridiplantae, Streptophyta, Magnoliopsida, Rosales, Rosaceae. The record is from RefSeq and is a predicted model, not a curated record.